GAGUAAUGCGUGACCAACCUGCCCCAUGCUCCAGAAUAGCUCUUGGAAACGGGUGGUAAUGCUGGAUGCUCCAACUUGACGCAUGUCUUGUUGGGAAAGUGUUUAGUGGCAUGGGAUGGGGUCGCGUCCUAUCAGCUUGUAGGCGGGGUAAUGGCCCACCUAGGCUUCGACGGGUAGCCGGCCUGAGAGGGCGGACGGCCACAUUGGGACUGAGAUACGGCCCAGACUCCUACGGGAGGCAGCAGCA
Molecule: ribosomal RNA, 247 nt
Filed under: uncultured Gardnerella sp.
Lineage: Bacteria; Bacillati; Actinomycetota; Actinomycetes; Bifidobacteriales; Bifidobacteriaceae
Description: partial 16S ribosomal RNA
Rfam family: Bacterial small subunit ribosomal RNA
Source: RNAcentral